AUGGCAUGGGUUCCCAAAGGAAGUGCUCAAAAUAAGAAUUAUGUGCAAGCUUCCAUUAUAAGAAGUGCGGUAAAGGUGAAGAAGGAAAAGAGUGAAAACUAUGAAGGACCAAGCCGAAGGUUUCAGCAUCUUCGGUCUACACAUUAUCAAUAUUCUUCAACUAUGCCACUAACGCCUUUGCCAUGGAAUUCGUCAUCAGGCGAAAGUAAGGAUUGGAGAAAGUUUAUUGUUGAUUAUCUACAAAAUCCUAGAAAAAUAGUGAACAAUAUGGUUCGGAGGAUGACCUUGAGAUACAUAUCUGUGGAACUUUAUCACCGGAUUGUUAAUGAAGCUGAGAAGGUUUCACCCAAGUUUGCAUCAGAAAGUUCACACAAGACAUGA
This 381-nucleotide ribosomal RNA is filed under the name Triticum aestivum (bread wheat). RNAcentral's name for it is "partial small subunit ribosomal RNA". Lineage: Eukaryota; Viridiplantae; Streptophyta; Magnoliopsida; Poales; Poaceae. The record is from RNAcentral.